This 385-nucleotide unclassified non-coding RNA is filed under the name uncultured Phycisphaeraceae bacterium. Its description in RNAcentral is "contains 16S-23S intergenic spacer region". Lineage: Bacteria; Pseudomonadati; Planctomycetota; Phycisphaerae; Phycisphaerales; Phycisphaeraceae. The record is from RNAcentral.
UCCGACUUGACGCCGGCAGUCUCGCUAGAGUCCCCGCCAUGACGCGCUGGCAACUAGCGACAGAGGUCGCGCUCGUUAAGGGACUUAACCCGACACUUCACAGCACGAGCUGACGACAGCCAUGCAGCGCCUGUGCACGUUCCACCCGAAGGUGUCACCCCGCUUUCACGGGGCUAAUCCGUGCAUGUCAAACCCAGGAUAAGGUUCUUCGCGUUGCUUCGAAUUAAGCCACAUGCUCCACCGCUUGUGUGAGCCCCCGUCAAUUCCUUUGAGUUUUAGCCUUGCGACCGUACUCCCCAGGCGGUGCACUUAACACUUUCGCUUCGACCGAGAAUGGUGUCAGAACCUCCUCGAUCUAGUGCACAUCGUUUACGGCGUGGACUAC